RNAcentral lists this unclassified non-coding RNA (335 nucleotides) under soil metagenome. RNAcentral describes it as "partial contains 5.8S ribosomal RNA, internal transcribed spacer 2, and large subunit ribosomal RNA". The stretch from base 1 to 120 matches the Rfam family "5.8S ribosomal RNA", at positions 35 to 154 of the family's 154-position model. The record is from RNAcentral.
GAUGAAGAACGUAGCGAAAUGCGAUAAGUAAUGUGAAUUGCAGAAUUCAGUGAAUCAUCGAAUCUUUGAACGCACAUUGCGCCCCCUGGUAUUCCGUGGGGCAUGCCUGUUCGAGCGUCAUUUACACCCUCAAGCUCUGCUUGGUGUUGGGCGUCUGUCCCGCUUUAUGCGUGGACUCGCCCCAAAGUCAUUGGCAGCGGUCGUGCCAGCUUCUCGCGCAGCACAUUUGCGUUUCUUGAAGUUUGGUGGAUCAGCAUCCAGUAAGCUCUUUUAUGACUUGACCUCGGAUCAGGUAGGGAUACCCGCUGAACUUAAGCAUAUCAAUAAGCGGAGGA